RNAcentral lists this ribosomal RNA (150 nucleotides) under Triticum aestivum (bread wheat). RNAcentral describes it as "partial small subunit ribosomal RNA". The record is from RNAcentral. Lineage: Eukaryota; Viridiplantae; Streptophyta; Magnoliopsida; Poales; Poaceae.
CAAGCACUUGGUUCGCCCCUUACUAUAACCAUCCCACUCAAUCUUUUACACCGAUGUUUCGUACUCUCUCGACCAGGUCAUCAUAAGAAAAUACUGCCAAAUCUUUCCGAAUGAGAGAAGGAGGGAAGGCGCGCUACAACUAACUGUUGA